UACCAGACUCCUACGGGAGGCAGCAGUGGGGAAUAUUGCACAAUGGGGGGAACCCUGAUGCAGCGACGCCGCGUGAGUGAAGAAGUAUUUCGGUAUGUAAAGCUCUAUCAGCAGGGAAGAAAAUGACGGUACCUGACUAAGAAGCCCCGGCUAACUACGUGCCAGCAGCCGCGGUAAUACGUAGGGGGCAAGCGUUAUCCGGAUUUACUGGGCGUAAAGGGAGCGCAGGCGGCGCGCCAAGUCUGAUGUGAAACCCCGGGGCUCAACCCCGGGCAUGCAUUGGAAACUGGCGGGCUGGAGUGCCGGAGAGGUAAGCGGAAUUCCUAGUGUAGCGGUGAAAUGCGUAGAUAUUAGGAGGAACACCAGUGGCGAAGGCGGCUUACUGGACGGCAACUGACGCUGAGGCUCGAAAGCGUGGGGAGCAAACAGGAUUAGAUACCCGGGUA
RNAcentral lists this ribosomal RNA (446 nucleotides) under uncultured bacterium. RNAcentral describes it as "partial 16S ribosomal RNA". It matches the Rfam family "Bacterial small subunit ribosomal RNA", at positions 329 to 792 of the family's 1533-position model. The record is from RNAcentral.